Caenorhabditis elegans is the source of this 118-nucleotide non-coding RNA. NCBI's taxonomy places the organism in Eukaryota, Metazoa, Nematoda, Chromadorea, Rhabditida, Rhabditidae. The record is from Ensembl.
GGUGCGAAGGGGCCACUAAAGCUGGCUGGUAGGAGGGAAUGACAAUCAUUUUCGAAGAGAGCCGAAAUUAAGGGACAAAGUGGGGGCGCUCGUUGAGGGGAUGAGGAGACAAAUGGGC